CAAUAAGCGGAGGUAAAGAAACCAACAGGGAUUGCCCUAGUAACGGCGAGUGAAGCGGCAACAGCUCAAAUUUGAAAUCUGGCCUCUGGCCCGAGUUGUAAUUUGUAGAGGAUGCUUUUGGUGAGGUGCCUUCCGAGUUCCCUGGAACGGGACGCCAUAGAGGGUGAGAGCCCCGUCUGGUCGGACACCGAUCCUCUGUAAAGCUCCUUCGACGAGUCGAGUAGUUUGGGAAUGCUGCUCUAAAUGGGAGGUAUAUGUCUUCUAAAGCUAAAUACCGGCCAGAGACCGAUAGCGCACAAGUAGAGUGAUCGAAAGAUGAAAAGCACUUUGAAAAGAGGGUUAAACAGUACGUGAAAUUGUUGAAAGGGAAGCGCUUGUGACCAGACUUGGGCUUGGUUAAUCAUCCAGUGUUCUUCACUGGUGCACUUGGCCGGCCCAGGCCAGCAUCAGUUCGGUGCGGGGGAUAAAGGCUUCGGGAAUGUGGCUCCUCCGGGAGUGUUAUAGCCCGUUGCGUAAUACCCUGCGCUGGACUGAGGUUCGCGCAUCUGCAAGGAUGCUGGCGUAAUGGUCAUCAGCGACCCGUCUUGAAACACGGACCAAGGAGUCGUCUUCGUAUGCGAGUGUUCGGGUGUUAAACCCCUACGCGUAAUGAAAGUGAACGCAGGUGAGAGCUUCGGCGCAUCAUCGACCGAUCCUGAUGUUCUCGGAUGGAUUUGAGUAAGAGCAUACGGGGCCGGACCCGAAAGAAGGUGAACUAUGCCUGUAUAGGGUGAAGCCAGAGGAAACUCUGGUGGAGGCUCGCAGCGGUUCUGACGUGCAAAUCGAUCGUCAAAUAUGGGCAUGGGGGCGAAAGACUAAUCGAACCUGCUAGUA
RNAcentral lists this ribosomal RNA (873 nucleotides) under Paracremonium variiforme. Its description in RNAcentral is "eukaryotic LSU rRNA". It matches the Rfam family "Eukaryotic large subunit ribosomal RNA", at positions 44 to 949 of the family's 3401-position model. Lineage: Eukaryota; Fungi; Ascomycota; Sordariomycetes; Hypocreales; Nectriaceae. The record is from RNAcentral.